RNAcentral lists this ribosomal RNA (253 nucleotides) under uncultured bacterium. Its description in RNAcentral is "partial 16S ribosomal RNA". It matches the Rfam family "Bacterial small subunit ribosomal RNA", at positions 524 to 776 of the family's 1533-position model. The record is from RNAcentral.
UACGAGGGGGGCAAGCGUUGUUCGGAAUUAUUGGGCGUAAAGGGCGCGUAGGCGGUGCGGUAAGUCUGAUGUGAAAUCUCCGGGCUCAACUCGGAGUCUGCAUCAGAAACUGCCGUGCUUGAGUGUGGGAGAGGUGAGUGGAAUUCCCGGUGUAGCGGUGAAAUUCGUAGAUAUCAGGAGGAACACCGGUGGCGAAGGCGGUUCUCUGGGCCUGCUCUGACGCUGAGGAGCGAAAGCGUGGGGAGCGAACAGG